RNAcentral lists this ribosomal RNA (253 nucleotides) under uncultured bacterium. RNAcentral describes it as "partial 16S ribosomal RNA". It matches the Rfam family "Bacterial small subunit ribosomal RNA", at positions 524 to 776 of the family's 1533-position model. The record is from RNAcentral.
CACGUAGGGCGCGAGCGUUGUCCGGAAUUAUUGGGCGUAAAGAGCUCGUAGGCGGCCUGUUGCGUCCGCUGUGAAAGCCCGGGGCUUAACCCCGGGUCUGCAGUGGAUACGGGCAGGCUAGAGGUAGGUAGGGGAGAAUGGAAUUCCCGGUGUAGCGGUGGAAUGCGUAGAGAUCGGGAAGAACACCUGCGGUGUAGACGGCUUACUGGACCAUAACUGACGCUGAGGCACGAAAGCGUGGGUAGCAAACAGG